Long non-coding RNA from Amphiprion ocellaris (clown anemonefish), 3201 nucleotides. RefSeq lists it as uncharacterized. NCBI's taxonomy places the organism in Eukaryota, Metazoa, Chordata, Actinopteri, Pomacentridae. The record is from RefSeq and is a predicted model, not a curated record. The transcript has 2 exons.
GUCUCAAGUGUCCUAUAAAUGCAGUUGUUGAAGUCACAUAUUUGGAAAUGACCCAUCUGAGGUCCAGUGCCAGGCUCUCUUCAGUGUUUGCAGUGUGUUUUUUAAGUGGCAGGGUGGGCUGGCAGUUACAGAUUGUCCCAUUGUCACAGGGUCACAGGUCUGAUCCCUCUCAGAGCCGGUGUGUCCACGUUGAGCCGCCUCCAUCGGAGACGUUGCCCCUGUCUCACCCUUUUGUUGAAGCAGUUGCAUGAGCCAGAAAGUGGAUCCAUUAAGACUCACAAUCGACCUGCUGAAAACAGAGAGCUGCUGUUUGGUUACAAUGCAGAAAUUUACUGUUGACACACAACUCACACAAAGCUGCAAGGCUCCUUCUGUCCUGUUGUGUUUUCUGUUUAUAAAUCCUGGUCAGGUAGUGGGUUCAGGUCCUGAAUCUGCAGAUUCAGAACACAACUGAAGACACUGAAAUGCUGUCACAUGCUGACCUCUAGUGGAUGAUGUGUGGUUUACUGACAGUAGAAUAAAACCCUCAGUCACAGUCAUUUAGGGCAUGUUUAGCGGUGUGUUUUCUUGUCUGGGGGUUUCCAAAUAACACAAUUAGUCUGCAGCACUGAAAUAUAAAUAAAUCCAUCCUCUGCUUACUCAUACACUAAUUGAAAUGAUUUAAUUCUUCGCUGUAUGUCCUGGACAUUAAUCCCAGGAAAGCUAUUGGUAAUGAUGUGUGUUUAAUGAUCUGGUAACAUUUAUACUUGUGAUAUUUAAAUGAAGAGUAAUCACACCAGAUUAAAGUAUCAGUUUUGAAUUCGUAUUAUGAUAAAUGUCUAGGGGAGGAGGAAGUAGUAAGAUUCUGGACUAAAGUAAAACUACAAAUUCCACACUGCAGAAAUACACAAUUGCAUGUAAAAGUUCUGCAUUUAAAAUAUUACGAAACUUAGCAAUCUGGGCACGUGUACGGAUCUGGUAAUUGGAUUUUCCGUUCUGAAACGGGUAUAAACAAAAAACGAGUGGUUAUUUGAUUUUCGUUUUAAAAUACAAAAAUUAAAAUUGAAAUACAAGGCAUUUUUCCUUUUCAUGAUCAAAAAGGGAUAUACGUUUUUUUUUAAAAUGCUUUUAUUUUCGUUUUAUAUUUAGAAUAACAAGAAAGUAAAAUCAGUAAGAGACAGAAACGAAAAAAGGUCAGUUUUUUCAUUUUCUCAGACCGGAAAUUGUCAUCAGGAAGUGUGGAGCCAAACAGAGUACGGUGCAUAGACUGUACAUACAUUUUUUUUUCAUGAGUUUUCAUGGUCAGAAUGAGAGAUCAGGUGGCCGAUCUUAAAAUAAAUCAAUAUCGAUUUUUUUAUAGAGCGUUAAAGUUUUGCGAAGCCAGGGGGCGGGACUAUUUGAUUGACAGUCCGGUCUGGAAUGAUUGACAGGUCCUAUGGAGGAGGCAGCAGAGACUCUGCUCUCCUCAUUUGGAUUAAUUCUGAUAUAAUAACUGUUUAUUUAUCGGUGGAGCAGCACAACAUUUUCCACAGACAGUUUUCCUGCCCGUUGGCUUGUUUUAACCAGUUUUCUACCUUCGGCUGAUUCUACCAGCAGACACUGAAAGGACUCUAAUAGUUCGGUAAGUAAAUGUUUAUUUUCGUAUCGGUGCUGCUUUUAAUGCACUUUAUAUGCAGCUUUAGUGUCAGAUGUAAUGUGUGCCAUGUACUCCAGAUGUUGGUGGAGUUUGUUUCAGUGUGUGUUGACCAGAGAAGAAAGUUAGCAUAGUAAAUGUUAGCUUUAAUGUUAGCGAUGCUAACCGAGCGAGCUGCUCAGUCGCAGCUUGAUUAAAGCUAACGUAGCAUCAAGCUAAUGUGUUGAGUUUCAUGUAAACAGCUGAAGUGUGUUGUGUUCCUGUCAUGUGGUUCAUUAUGUUCAUAAAACUGUGGCUGGUUGACAUUAAUGUAACGUUCAGGAAACUUAAAUGUGAUUAAAACAGUAACGUUAAUGUUCUAGUUGUCAGCAAUCAGCUUUAAUUUGACACUAAAACAGACUCUGAUAGUUUGAAAUGACAUCAGUUUCAUUAAUUUGUUGAAAAUUGUCUCAUUUGUUGUUGUGAUGUUGCUGCUGAUUCAUUAAAAGCAGAUGAUCCGUGUUGAAGAUACGUUUAGUUCUAGUAUCAGAAGUACAAGAAGGAAAAUGGAAGUUUAGUUCUGCUACGUCAAAGAUUUCAGGAUUAAAAUAACUAAAUGAGUCUUUAUGCCGCAAACUUUAUUUUUAGAAUAAAGAAAUAAUGAAAUAAUCACAGAUGAUAAAAAUAUAAAUAGCAGAGAAAACCUGAGAGAAUAAUUUCCUGAAAAGUCUGUGAAGGAAAAGCAGCUUUUUAUCCUGAAAGAUCAGAAUCAGCUCCAACAUCUGCAUCUGACAGAAUCAAGUCAACCAGAAAGAAAAGAAAAAAGAAAAUGACUUCUUUCUGAUCACAUCUGUUCUGCUGCUCACAGUCUGCUGCUGCUCACAUUCUUCACAUUUAUAGUCCACUUUUAAAAGUUCAGCAGACAGGUGCUCUGCUUUGGAGUGUGAUGAUGUCGUCGGUGAUGUGGAGAGUGAAGUUUCCGUUUCACCCACAGCGUGCUUUAGGGCAGCCGGGUCGGACUUGAUGUUUGAAAUACUGACCAACAGCUCAGAUUUAACUGUCUGUAGUUCCGUUUUGAUGGGUGUUAAACUUUCACUCAAAGCCGCCAGGAGCUGGGUCUUUAAAAUAACCGCUGUCUCGUUACAGAGUGAAAGUAGCAGUUCCUCCUUAAGGUCAGAGAUUGCAGUAUCUGAGGGCCUCUUCAAAAGAAGACAUAGUUGAUGAAGGCGUUCUGGAGCAGGACCAGAAAGACCACGACCAAGCAGCCUUGAGAUCUUAGGCAGCGUCUCCCUCAGACAUCCACCAACCACUGGAACACAUCUCCAAAGUUCUGCCGGGCCAGCUCAGCUUCCCCUCAGAAGAAGUGCUGCCACCUGCCAGAUGAAGGAGCCUUUUGAGAGGCAGCUGGCAUCGUGAUUGGACUGUACUUUGGUCUGUUCCAAUCCAGCUUCAGCUCCAGAGACGGCAGGCGGGACGAGUCAACGGAGGCCGGGUGGACGAAGGCAUGCAGCUGAGUACAAUCCAGAAAACAACAGAGGAGGAGUGCAGUGGCCCAGAGCCAGAACAAACAGAGUAGCAUCGUAUGUCUCUUAGAAAACAUCAUAGUAUAG